UACAGGCAUGAGGCACUAUACCCAGCCAGAAGAUGCUUCUUCAGUGUUGGUCUUGAAAUGAAGAUUUGGAGCAGAGCCACAGCUGGCAUGCCAAAGAUAUGAAUGUGUACAAGAAGUACCUUUGGAGUGAUACAAUACAGGAAUACGGAGUGCAUAGUAUCUUCAUGUCAUCUGGAGGCUCAGAGGCUACUAUGUAUCAUUUUCUUGGCCUCCAUCACCUUUCUAGGGUGUGUAUAGCUCCUGAGGAAGAUUGAAGUGCCCGGCUUCACUUGGUAGGUCUCUCAUCAGUUGUCUGUCUGGGUGCCAACUCAUAGCUCUCCCAGUUCACGUGGAGAUCCACAGAUAGGGGAUUUCACAGCAAACAAGGCAGGUAGUCAGUUCCUAGCGCAAAGCAUUCCUCAACUAGCUUAACUUGGUAGUU
Molecule: long non-coding RNA, 421 nt
Filed under: Pan troglodytes (chimpanzee)
Lineage: Eukaryota; Metazoa; Chordata; Mammalia; Primates; Hominidae
Description: long non-coding RNA NONPTRT012538
Source: RNAcentral